RNA transcript from Centrocercus urophasianus (Greater sage-grouse), 5528 nucleotides. It is a transcript of the gene named SR-related CTD associated factor 8, with no coding region annotated. The transcript has 23 exons. The record is from RefSeq and is a predicted model, not a curated record. Lineage: Eukaryota; Metazoa; Chordata; Aves; Galliformes; Phasianidae.
CCCGGCCCGGCCGCCAUCAGCGGAGAGAAGCCGCCCGGCCCCCGCCUCGGCCGCGACAUGGAGGCCGUGAAGGCCUUUAACAGCGAGUUGUACUCACUGAAUGAUUAUAAGCCACCCAUUUCUAAAGCUAAAAUGACACAGAUCACCAAGGCAGCAAUCAAGGCUAUAAAGUUCUACAAGCAUGUUGUGCAGAGUGUUGAGAAAUUCAUUCAAAAGUGCAAACCAGAAUACAAGGUGCCUGGUCUGUACGUCAUUGAUUCGAUUGUGAGGCAGUCCCGGCAUCAGUUUGGGCAAGAGAAGGAUGUGUUUGCUCCAAGAUUCAGCAAUAACAUCAUCAGCACUUUUCAGAACUUGUAUCGUUGUCCUGGGGAUGACAAGAGUAAAAUUGUCAGAGUGCUAAACUUAUGGCAGAAAAAUAACGUGUUCAAGAGUGAAAUUAUUCAGCCUCUUUUGGAUAUGGCAGCAGGAAUUCCUCCACCAGUUGUGACCCCCGUCUUGCCCAGUACUACUGCUGCUAUGAGCAACAAUACACCAGGAACACCUGUGACUCCAGUUACUCCAGCCAAUGUGGUGCAAAGUUUACCUGAUCCUUGGGUAUCUCAGAUUGCUAAUACAGAUACGCUUGCUGCUGUUGCCCAGAUUUUACAGAGUCCCCAAGGCCAACAGCUUCAGCAGUUGAUACAGACGCUGCAGAUACAGCAGCAGAAACCUCAGCCUUCACUACUUCAAGCCCUGGAUGCUGGUCUUGUCGUUCAGUUACAGGCCCUAACUGCACAACUUACAGCUGCAGCUGCUGCUGCCAAUACACUUAAUCCGUUGGAACAGAGUGUCUCUUUUAAUAAGAAGCUGAUGGACAGGUUUGACUUUGGGGAAGAAUCUGAACAAAAUGAGGAGUCUAAGAAGGAAACUCCCACUUCCCAACUGCCAUUAGUACCAGAAUCUGUGAACAACUCAAUUUUUCACCAACUAGCUGAACAAUUGCAGCAACAAAAUUUAGAACAUCUCAGACAACAACUUCUGGAGCAACAGCAGCCUCAAAAGGCAAGCCCUGAGGAAAAUCAGGAAGGGAAUUUUGGUUCAGAACACUCUGCAUCACCUUCACAAGGGAGCAGUCAACAGCAGUUUUUAGAAGCAGAAACAAAUGUAGAUGAUUCAAUGGAUAUUCAACAACAGGACAUGGACAUAGAUGAAGGACAGGAUGUUGCUGAGGAAGAGAUUUUUGAACAAGAAGAAAAAAAAUCUGCUGUUCGUUCAAGAUCACGAACUCGUUCAAGAUCUCGUUCAAGGUCACCAAGGAAAAGAAGGUCUAGAUCACGAUCUGGUUCUCGUAAGCGCAAACACAGAAAGCGUUCACGCUCAAGAUCAAGAGAAAGGAAGAGAAAGUCAUCUCGGUCCUACUCCAGUGAAAGAAGGGCUAGGGAAAGGGAAAAAGAACGUCAGAAAAAGGGAUUGCCUCCAAUACGGUCAAAAACACUAAGUGUUUGCAGCACUACUCUUUGGGUAGGUCAAGUAGACAAGAAGGCAACACAGCAAGAUUUGACCAACUUGUUUGAAGAAUUUGGACAAAUAGAAUCUAUUAAUAUGAUUCCCCCAAGAGGUUGUGCAUAUGUCUGCAUGGUUCAUAGACAAGAUGCAUAUCGUGCUCUUCAGAAGCUUAGUUCUGGGUCCUACAAAAUUGGAUCGAAAAUUAUUAAGAUUGCCUGGGCUUUAAAUAAAGGUGUGAAAACAGAGUAUAAGCAAUUCUGGGAUGUGGAUCUGGGAGUUUCAUAUAUUCCUUGGGAGAAGGUAAAACUGGAUGAUUUGGAGGGCUUUGCUGAAGGUGGCAUGAUUGAUCAGGAGACAGUAAAUACAGAAUGGGAAACAGCAAGGAGCUCAGAGCCUCCUAAAGAAAAUAUUCAAACUACGCAGAGUACUGCAGUUGAUAAGAGCACAGUGAUUACAACGCAGACAGAAGCUUACACACAGCCAGUCACUAUGCUACAGAUUCCAGUAGCUCCAGCUGUGCCUGCUGUUAGCUUAGUUCCACCUGCGUUUCCUGUCACAAUGUCUGUUCCUCCUCCUGGUUAUAGUGCCAUUCCUCCUCCACCCUUCUUGCGAGCAAGUUUCAAUCCUUCACAGCCACCUCCAGGUUUUAUGCCUCCCCCAGUUCCUCCUGUUGUUCCUCCUCCUGUUGUCCCACCACCUGUUGUCCCACCAGUUGUUCCAACAUCUUUAGUACAGCCUCCAUUACCAAUUGCUCAAGAGACGAUGAAGGAUGUACCUUUUACUGGCCUGGUUCUACCAGUUGUUGGCACAGUUAGUAGCAAUCUAGCUACUCCAACAUUAUCUUCUGGAAGCAUCUUUAAUCCUCUGCCAAUCAACAAACAAGAACCUGAUGAAAAGGGAUCUCAUCUUGCAGACCUUCAGAUUUCUUCCAGUGAAAAUGGUAGAGCUGUGCAAAGUGAUGUCUCAAGUAGCUCUGGACUUGUUGGAGGAAUGCAGCCACCCAGUGUCUCAAGCAGUUCUGGGUUAACUGGAGAAGGCCAGCCACCCAGUGUCUCAAGCAGCUCUGGACUUGCAGGCGGAGUACAGCCACCCAGUGUCUCAAGCAGCUCUGGACUUGGAGGAGGAGUGCAACCACCAACUGUUUCAAGCAGUUCUGGUCUUGUGGGAGGAGUGCAACUACCCAGUGUCUCCAGUAGCUCUUCUCUUGCAGGAGGAGUUCAGCCAACCAGCGUCUCGAGCAGCUCUGGACUUAUGGCUGGAGUGCAACCACCAAAUGUCUCAAGUAGCUCAGGGCUUCUAGCUGGAGUGCAUCCACCCAAUAUCUCAAGCAGCCCUGGCCUUCUACCAGGAAUGCAGCCUCCCAGUGUUUCGAGUAGCUCAGGAGUUCUGGCAGGAGUACAGCCACCGAGUGUCUCAAACAACUCUGGUCUUCUCCUAAUGCCACCACCGAAUGUUUCAAGUAGUUCUGGACUUAUGGGAGUGCCACCACCAAAUAUUUCAAGUAACUCUGGACUUCUGGCAAUACAGCACCCAGCUGGUGUUCAAAAUAUGCCUCAUUUAAAUAUUAGUAGUCAAAGGAUGCCAGGAAUGCCUCUCAUAGAUAUCCGUCCAGGCCUAAUGCCCCAUUCACCUGGACCAAGGUUUCCAUUAAUGCAGCCAGGAAUACCACCACAGCGUAGUAUUCCUCCUCCAGCAAUCCUUGAUCCAUCUCUUCACCCUCCGCCUCGAGGUCCUUUUCCUCCAGGAGAUAUUUUUAAUCAAACAGAAAGACCUUUUGCAACACCAGGAAGACAAAAUAUUGAUAGCAUUUCUAAUCCAGAGAAAAGGUUACCACUUGGAGGCGAUAAUAUUCAGCAGGAGGGAGACAGAGAUUAUCGCUUUCCUCCAGUGGAAAACCGAGAUAAUCUCAACAGACCAUCCCAAGUGGAUGUCAGAGAUUCUGUUGGACGACCACCAGUUGAUCCAAGAGAGGGCAUAGGAAGACCUCCAGUAGAUGGAAGAGAACAUUUUGCAAGACCUCAUGUUGACAUGAGAGAAAAUUUUGGAAGACCAGGUAUAGAUAAUCUUGGUCGAAGAGAGCAUUUUGCUUUCAAUUCAGAUAAGCACUGGGGACAAAGAGGAGAUUAUGAUGAAAGAGAGCACCAUGCCUUUCCUAUUUAUGGUGGCCCUAAAGGCUUCCAUGAGGACAGAGAGAGAUUUCGGCAUGUAAACUAUAGGUUUGAUAGUAGAAGUGGUCCCAGCUGGAAUAGAGGAUUUGAACAAGAUGCUCACAGAGAUUUUGAUGACCGCAGAAGACCCUGGGAAAGACAGAGGGACAGGGAUGACAGAGAUUUUAACUUCUGCAGAGAAAUCAAUGGAAACAGGUUUGGAAGAGACAGAAUGUCAAACAACUGGAUCCCCCCUCCACACCCACGGGUUUUUGAAUACUUUGAUGGGGCCACUUCCCAACGCAAAGCGGAUAAUUUGCCCCAGGUGAACGGUGAAAAUACAGAGACAGAAAGUCAACCACCAACUGCACAGGUGCAGGACGAUCCAGAACUUUAUGAAAAACUGACAUCUUCCGUCGAGAUAAACAAAGAGAAGAGUGACACAGAAGCUGAUAUAGAAAGUGAACCAGUGGUAGAAAGCACAGAAACUGAGGGGACAUAAUCAUCACUCAGUAGAAAUCAGGGGGCUUUGUGUUUUGGUGGCUUAAUACUGAAGGAGAAAAUCUUGUUAAAUUGCUGAGAGGAAUUGGCUGCUUAGCUUUAUUAAAUUGGUGUCCUGACAUUUGGCUGCUUGCUGCUCUGAAACCAGCAGAGGGUGCACAGAAUGUAUUCAGCUGUAGCUGUUUCUUCACGAUCCCUUGUGUUACUGCUACAUAGGAACCAGACAACUGCCCUCCUAGGCCCUAUUCAGGCAAGAUGAAGGAAGUUCUGGCAGCUUACCAUGCCCCUGGCUCUGCAGAGUUAAGCGAGACGUGCGCCCAUGUUCUAGCAUGCAUCACAUCGCCUCUCGGGUCUGAAGUGCCAGCAGGAUCCCAGCGCUGCAGACUGAGACGGCUCUGAGCACCUCAGUACCCCGUUUCUGACAGAACCCAGGGAUGGCAGACUUACAUACCAGUAUUACCUGUCUGACGCAGGUUUAAUUUUAUAAAUUAAAACCAUAAACUCUAUGAGUUUCUAGACCAUAUUUGUGCUGUUGAGGAUGAUCUACUCAGAUGAACAGUUUUGCAUCCAUCGGAGAGAGAGGUUCUUCUGCUGGACCAGAAGACAACAUUAUUGUAACUAAUACCAUUUGUAGCAUCUCCUAGUGCAAAUAACUGAAGAUCAGGUUGCAAGAAAAUCCUCUAGGGAAUAAGACAUGCUUGGUUUUGGUCUACAGAUUUUAAGAAAUGUUGUUUUUGUUUUUGUUUUUUUUAAAGGUAACCACUUUUACAUGACACUACGUGUGCAGUCUAUGUGCAGCUCUUCACUGUGGCUAUCUAUAUUCCAGAGAUUUUUAAUUGCUUGUCAGACACUCGAACCUUUUUUAGAUUUGUGAUGAAUCCUUAAAUUAUGAAAGCAUCAUGGAAAAUUAGAAAGGAAAAGUUUCAAGGCUUUUAUUUGACUAAAUAUCUCCACUUAUUCCCUGUUAGUGUCUUCGAUGGUGGAAGAAAGGGUGGGAAGUAGGAAAAAAUACAAAAGAACAACACAUUGUGGGCUUGGUGUUUUGGCAUAUCAGAAUGUUUGAUCAAAUUACUAAGGAGAAACAGCUAACUUACCUGAGGCCUCACAUGACAGGUUAGUAUUUUGGGGCAGUAUUUGCUGAUUUUUUUUCUCCAAAAUAGCUAUAGAAAAGAAGGAUUAUGUAUAUGCCCCAACAUAUGGUGAAAAGGACAUACUUGCCAUUCCUCUAUUUAUUUUUGCUCUUUCAUAAAUCAAAGUGCCAGUUAUUUGGAAUGCUGUAGUCUGUGGUCUCUUUAAAUUUCUUUAGUGAGAUCCUUUCAGCAAGAUCAUUCCCAUUAUGGUGUAACUGCAUGGUGACCACAGCUUUGGGCCUGUAUAAUAAAGAUCUGAAUUCAA